CGAACGGGAGAGUAACGCGUGAGGAACCUGCCUCAAAGAGGGGGACAACAGUUGGAAACGACUGCUAAUACCGCAUAAGCCCACGGCUCGGCAUCGAGCAGAGGGAAAAGGAGCAAUCCGCUUUGAGAUGGCCUCGCGUCCGAUUAGCUAGUUGGUGAGGUAACGGCCCACCAAGGCGACGAUCGGUAGCCGGACUGGGAGGUUGAACGGCCACAUUGGGACUGAGACACGGCCCAG
RNAcentral lists this ribosomal RNA (237 nucleotides) under uncultured bacterium. RNAcentral's name for it is "partial 16S ribosomal RNA". It matches the Rfam family "Bacterial small subunit ribosomal RNA", at positions 99 to 334 of the family's 1533-position model. The record is from RNAcentral.